Molecule: long non-coding RNA, 2179 nt
Organism: Paramormyrops kingsleyae
Lineage: Eukaryota; Metazoa; Chordata; Actinopteri; Osteoglossiformes; Mormyridae
Source: RefSeq, a predicted model, not a curated record
UACACGCGCUUCGAAACCGUUUAUUUCUGGAACUUUCCAAUUUUUCGGACCGCGGUAAACCACGGAUAACUGACACCGCGGAUACCCGGGUCCCACUGUAUCUACAGUUAACAGCAUAGUUGACCUUAAUUUGAUGGUAUAGAGUAGUGGUUCUCAACCGGGGGGGUACGCAACAGGGGGCCUCAGCGAGGACCAUGGGGGCGCGGAAUUUACUUGAAAACGCAGAAAAAUAAUGCAUACAAGACAGAGAAUAUGAUAACCUGUACAGGGGACUCCAGACAUGUGAGAGUAACUGAGAAGCAUCGUAUUUUGCUGCCCCGUGCUCAUGUGACCCCGCCUGUGCCGUGUGAGGGACACAUUUCCGCCUCCUCUAGCUCUGGGAUUGAUCAGACCAGGAGUGAACAGUGGAGAACAAACAUUCAGAUUGAGAGCAGCUCUAACAGACUGCGGCACAGAGGUUCCUUCAGCAGAAACAGCAUCCUUUAACUCCCUUAAAACGGUGCUCAGGCGGUUCGUGAUUGGACGGCAGCCCUGCACAGCAGUAUGUGAUUGGACGGCAGCCCUGCACAGCAGUAUGUGAUUGGAUGGCAGCCCACUACAGAGCCAGAGAGUGAUGCACCAAGUGUGGCUCCCUGCUGCCAAGGUCGUUCCAGGAAUCCGGUGUCGGCUUUCAGCCACUCAUGGUUCUGAAAUACCGGCACUCGUCUCAACAUUCGUGUUAGCUGGGGAGGAGUUAGCCUGUCUGCCAGAGCUGCGGCUCAGCAGUGUCCCAAGUUAUACACAGAGAACCACGGUUCUGCAGUUCUACCCUGUUCUAUCUUAGGUACACCAUGUUGAAACAGCUGCCAUCAAAUGGACCUUGAAUCAAACAGGAAAAACCACUGGCAUGACCGACCUUUUUCCGUCGCUUUGGACGAAACUGCCUGCUAGAUAAAUGUUUGACAUCUUGAGGACUUCAGUAUAUUGAGGAGCAGGGUGGCAGAGUUCUGGAGAAGCAUAGCUCACAGUUAUGGUGUGGUCAUGCUACCGAAACAGCCAUACAGGAAAACACACAGAUACACAUCAGUAUCCAUGCUGCUCGUACCAUUUGGAAGGAGCAUCCUUUGAUGCAGAGGAGACUUAAGUGCAAAUGCAGCAGGUUCACACACAUCUUUACUAUCGUCAAGCAAUGCUUCACACAUGCUACGUAGGACUACAUAACAAAACCAGCCUUAACACUGUGUUGCCAUGGAAACCAGCCCGGCCACAUGUGGGGCAGAGCCUGAUCCUUGUUACAAGCUACAGGUUAUGGGUUGAAUGGUCACGGGCGCAGUGCUGCAAGACAACCCAGUGUGCCGCGGCCGGACCGGGCCAUCGGGGGAACACUGCCACUCGGCAGCCCCCGACUGGCUAUAAAACUCCCUCAUUAAACUUUCAGGUGGAUGAAGCCAUAAUACGCCACCUGACCCUAUUGGCCAGUCUGCAGUCAGCCCAGAGGAAGAGAUGGCAGGUGAUUGGCUGGUUUGAAUUAGACCAAUCCCAAUGAGGUUGGCAUAUUGAUCCACUUGCAGUGUUUUUCCCCUUUACAGUAUCUGCUGUAUUUAGAGCAAGGGCUUAUUCCACAUACACAUACAGGGCAUCUGCAGCAGUCAGCCAAUAAAACGAGCUUCCUGUUUGACACGUGAAAACUGGAGCUGCAUACAGCACUUGUGGAAGCUCACUAUGAUCUGUCACAAACUGGUUUGAAGGACAAUAUAAACUUUUUAAUAAAUAGUUUGAUUUAUUUCUAAGAACAAAUAAAAUUUACACUAAACGAACCUUAUGACUUUGCAAAACAACUUUACAAAAUAUGUACAUGUUCUUCCGAUUCAUAUCCCCCAUCCCCCUUAAAUCUCUUUACUCACCAGCUUCUACAACAGCUCUGUCAAGUAAUGCUUUUAAUUUCUUUAUUUUUGUGCUGUCCCAAAACAUAACAAAAUUCUGUCCAGGGGGGAGACAAUAAGAAAUUAACUGCCACUCCAUAACGGGACCAGUUAACUCCUCCGAUGGACUAAGGUACAAAACGUGGAACAAAAUUAACUGACAAAAACUGUUCCCUUCAUUUGGCCAAAAUUUCGAGUAGAAUAAGCAGAUGCUCACAUCAAAUCACAUCAUUGGACAAAAAAAAACAUAGUGGAGGUGGGGCGUGAUGCUCCGCCCA